CAAUAGCGUAUAUUAAAGUUGUUGCAGUUAAAAAGCUCGUAGUUGGACUUCUGGCACGCUGCGCCUGGCCCGCCCGCGUUAGCGGUGUGAGUGCCGGUUGCGCGGUUGCCAUCCUUCUAGAAAACAGGCCUGCCCUUCACUGGGUUGGGUCUGCGAUCUAGAUCGUUUACUUUGAAAAAUUAGAGUGUUUAAAGCAGGCAAUUGCUGUGAAUACAUUAGCAUGGAAUAAUAAUAUAGGACUUAGGUUCUAUUUUGUUGGUUUCUAGGACUUAAGUAAUGAUUGAUAGGGAUAGUUGGGGGUGCUAGUAUUGAGAUGCCAGAGGUGAAAUUCUUGGAUUAUCUCAAGACUAACUUAUGCGAAAGCAUUCACCAAGGAUGUCUUCUUUAAUCAAGAACGAAAGUUGGGGGAUCGAAGAUGAUUAGAUACCGU
RNAcentral lists this ribosomal RNA (430 nucleotides) under uncultured eukaryote. RNAcentral describes it as "SSU rRNA". It matches the Rfam family "Eukaryotic small subunit ribosomal RNA", at positions 592 to 1018 of the family's 1831-position model. The record is from RNAcentral.